GCAGUGGUGAUUCUGUGUUAGAAUUCUUGCCUUCCAUGUGGGAGGUCCAGGUUCAAUUCCUGACCAAGGCA
RNAcentral lists this transfer RNA (71 nucleotides) under Loxodonta africana (African savanna elephant). It matches the Rfam family "tRNA". From Rfam's summary of the family: Transfer RNA (tRNA) molecules are approximately 80 nucleotides in length. Their secondary structure includes four short double-helical elements and three loops (D, anti-codon, and T loops). Further hydrogen bonds mediate the characteristic L-shaped molecular structure. tRNAs have two regions of fundamental functional importance: the anti-codon, which is responsible for specific mRNA codon recognition, and the 3' end, to which the tRNAs corresponding amino acid is attached (by aminoacyl-tRNA synthetases). tRNAs cope with the degeneracy of the genetic code in two manners: having more than one tRNA (with a specific anti-codon) for a particular amino acid; and 'wobble' base-pairing, i.e. permitting non-standard base-pairing at the 3rd anti-codon position. The record is from Rfam by way of RNAcentral. Lineage: Eukaryota; Metazoa; Chordata; Mammalia; Proboscidea; Elephantidae.